AGGACGAACGCUGGCGGCGUGCUUAACACAUGCAAGUCGAGCGGAAAGGCCCUUCGGGGUACUCGAGCGGCGAACGGGUGAGUAACACGUGAGUAAUCUGCCCCUAGCUCUGGGAUAGCUCCGGGAAACCGGGAUUAAUACCGGAUACGACCACUUUAGACAUCUGUUGUGGUGGAAAGAAUUUUGGCUAGGGAUGAGCUCGCGGCCUAUCAGCUUGUUGGUGGGGUAAUGGCCUACCAAGGCGACGACGGGUAGCCGGCCUGAGAGGGCGACCGGCCACACUGGGACUGAGACACGGCCCAGACUCCUACGGGAGGCAGCAGUGGGGAAUAUUGCGCAAUGGGCGGAAGCCUGACGCAGCGACGCCGCGUGGGGGAUGAAGGCCUUCGGGUUGUAAACCCUUUCACCAGGAGCGAAUCAAGACGGUACCUGGGGAAGAAGCGCCGGCUAACUACGCGCCAGCAGCCGC
This 469-nucleotide ribosomal RNA is filed under the name uncultured bacterium. Its description in RNAcentral is "SSU rRNA". It matches the Rfam family "Bacterial small subunit ribosomal RNA", at positions 26 to 518 of the family's 1533-position model. The record is from RNAcentral.